GAAUUUUGGGCAAUGGGCGAAAGCCUGACCCAGCAACGCCGCGUGAAGGAUGAAAUCCCUCGGGUUGUAAACUUCAUAAGAACGGGAAGAAUAAGCCGGUGUUAAUACCACCGGUGAUGACGGUACAGUUAGUAAGCUCCGGCUAACUCGCUUCCAGCAGCCGCGGUACUACGGGGGGAGCAAGCGUUGUUCGGAUUUACUGGGCGUAAAGGGCGCGUAGGCGGCCACCGCAAGUCGACUGUGAAAUCUCCGGGCUUAACCCGGAAAGGUCAGCCGAUACUGCGGGGCUAGAGUGCAGAAGGGGCAACUGGAAUUCUCGGUGUAGCGGUGAAAUGCGUAGAUAUCGAGAGGAACACCUGCGGCGAAGGCGGGUUGCUGGGCUGACACUGACGCUGAGGCGCGAAAGCUAGGGGAGCGAACGGG
Molecule: ribosomal RNA, 423 nt
Filed under: uncultured bacterium
Lineage: Bacteria
Description: bacterial SSU rRNA
Rfam family: Bacterial small subunit ribosomal RNA
Source: RNAcentral